RNAcentral lists this unclassified non-coding RNA (495 nucleotides) under Hevea brasiliensis (rubber tree). Lineage: Eukaryota; Viridiplantae; Streptophyta; Magnoliopsida; Malpighiales; Euphorbiaceae. The record is from RNAcentral.
GGAGCAAUGGCUAGAGGUGGAGGCACCGAACUACCACCCCCAUGUUUACAACUUGGCCAUUCACGCAUUAUCUGCCUCAGUCUUGGGAUUUCCUCCAGAUGAGAAGCUUAUCCAAGAGAGUGAAGCAAAAUUGGCAAAGGUUCCGGAUAUUUACAAGGGGAGACUUACCAAGAGCAAGUACUUAGCUGGGGAUUUCUUUAGCCUUGCUAAUCUUAGCCACCUUCCCUUUAUGCACUGCUUGCUUGGCCCCAUCAAUAAGGAGCAGAAAGUUUGUGAGUUCUUGUUGGGAUGAUAUUAGCAACAGGCCAUCUUGGACGUAGGUCCUCCAACUAUGACUUUUGGGUAUCUAGAUCAAUGUUGAAGGGCUCUUAUUUAUCAUGUUUUUUUUUUUUUCGGAAAAUUUCUUCCCAAGUCCUCUACCUUUUUGGGUUUUAUUUAGGGAUAAUGGCAAAAGAAUCCCAAACUUUACUAUUUUUACAAUUGCACAUUGAUUUU